CCUACGGGUGGCAGCAGUGAGGAAUAUUGGUCAAUGGGCGGAAGCCUGAACCAGCCAAGUAGCGUGCAGGAUGACGGCCCUACGGGUUGUAAACUGCUUUUAUACGGGAAUAACGCGCCUUACGUGUAGGGCUUUGCAUGUACCGUAUGAAUAAGGACCGGCUAAUUCCGUGCCAGCAGCCGCGGUAAUACGGAGGGUCCGGGCGUUAUCCGGAUUUAGUGGGUUUAAUGGGAGCGUAGGCGGCAUGUCAAGCGUGCUGUGAAAUGUCCGGGCUCAACCACGGAAUUGCAGCGCGGACGGGCGGGCGUGAGUCCGGGGAAGGCAGGCGGAAUUCGUCGUGUAGCGGUGAAAUGCUUAGAUAUGACGAAGAACCCCGAUUGCGAAGGCAGCUUGCUGCAGCGGAACUGACGCUGAUGCUCGAAAGCGCGGGUAUCGAACAGGAUUAGAUACCCCAGUAGUC
Molecule: ribosomal RNA, 460 nt
Filed under: uncultured bacterium
Lineage: Bacteria
Description: partial 16S ribosomal RNA
Rfam family: Bacterial small subunit ribosomal RNA
Source: RNAcentral